UCAGACAUCAGAGAACAGUGAUCACCUGGACACAGGCUUAUGCUCCGUUGGUGUGAUACCUGAGAGCUGGCACUGAAAGCACUUGAGAGCUAACCACUGGCGUCCUUCAUGGCUGACGUUCACUGUGACUGGUGGCCAUGCUCACCAGGAACGGAGUAAUGCUACAAAUGACAUUUCUAUGACGGAAAUCCAAUUGAAACCCUGGAAACCUAAAUGGAGAAUUCCAACUCAAGUAAUUGGCCUUCGGACACAGGAAUACAGAUGAACUAUUCGGAUGGUAUAUGCAGUAUGAAUCUGCAGCAAAACACUUUAGAUGAAAGAAGCCAGGUAUUAAUUACUCGCAAGGCCUUUGCAGUCACCAACCGCUAGCUGUUUUGAUGCUUCGUGACCAUGGAAUGUUUCUGUCCUCACGCGCCUCAGGAACACAGCAUAAAAGCCCAUGCUGCAGCAGGCUCAGCAUCGUCUUUGCUUCCCUCCUUUUUCCUCCAGAACGAGCUUUGCCUCCCUCAGCGACAGAUGUCGUGCUGCAGACCCUGCGUCCCGUCCCCCUGCGGUGCCUCUGGCCCAACCCCACUGGCAAGCAGCUGCAGUGAGCCAUGUGUCGCCCGCUGCGCUGACUCGACUGGCCAUCCAGGCCUCCCCCGUGGUGGUGACCCUGCCGGGCCCCAUCCUCACCUCCUUCCCUCAGAGCACAGCUGUGGGAUCCUCUCUGUCAGCUGCUGUUGGCAGCUCCCUCAGCUCCGCGGGCGUUCCCAUCUCUUCUGGGGGCUCCCUUGGUCUGGGGGGCUCCGGGCUGUGUCUGCCUCGCCCACCCAGCACUUUCAUCUGCUGAAGCCGAUGGAUCAUCCCAUUUGGAGAACGCAUCCCAGAUAUGGAUGGAUCGUUCUCUCAACCUCCCAGAAAACUGAAAUCAAAUUUCUUCCUCUCUGUACUGAGCCACUUUAUUUUUUCCUUCUCAUUAAAGUCUUUUGCCACAUAGCUUGGGCAUAACUUGUGACUUCGUUUCCUCCUAACGCCGUUGGUCACCUGCUCUGAUAAGAAAAGCAGUGCCCACUGCCCUCAGCUUACCUCUUGUCACUGGAAACAGAGGAGGGAGUACCUGCUCUGUCCCCUGGCAGCGAGUCCAUCCCCAGAAAAGGGAAAGACAACAUGUCCUGCUGUGGCCACUCCAAGUCUCAACCACUCUGUGCUUCUGUGAUGUGUUCUAACAGGAGAGGCAGGAAGAGCAGGGAAUGGUUUGUGUGAAGGACAGAAGGCUCAGGGGGCAUCC
RNAcentral lists this long non-coding RNA (1270 nucleotides) under Chrysolophus pictus (golden pheasant). RNAcentral describes it as "lncRNA (ENSCPIG00010010934.1)". The record is from RNAcentral. Lineage: Eukaryota; Metazoa; Chordata; Aves; Galliformes; Phasianidae.